CCUACGGGUGGCAGCAGUGGGGAAUAUUGCACAAUGGGCGAAACCCUGAUGCAGCGAAGCCGCGUGUGGGAAGACGGUCCUCUGGGUUGUAAACCACUUUCAUCAGGGACGAAGAUGACGGUAGCUGGGGACGAAGCUCCGGCUAACUACGUAACAGCAGCCGCGGUAAUAGGCAGGGAGCAAGCUUUGUCCGGAAUUACUGGGUGUAACGGGAGCGUAGGCGGGUUAGCAAGGUGGUUGUUAAAUCUAGAGGCUCAACUGGUAGUCGCAGUCAAAACUGCUAUUCUUGAGUGCAGGAGAGGCAGGCGGAAUUCCUAGUGUAGCGGUGAAAUGCGUAGAUAUUAGGAGGAACACCAGUGGCGAAGGCGGCCUGCUGGG
Molecule: ribosomal RNA, 378 nt
Filed under: uncultured bacterium
Lineage: Bacteria
Description: partial 16S ribosomal RNA
Rfam family: Bacterial small subunit ribosomal RNA
Source: RNAcentral